Molecule: ribosomal RNA, 464 nt
Filed under: uncultured bacterium
Lineage: Bacteria
Description: bacterial SSU rRNA
Rfam family: Bacterial small subunit ribosomal RNA
Source: RNAcentral
ACUCCUACGGGAGGCAGCAGUAGGGAAUCUUCCACAAUGGGCGCGAAGCCUGAUGGAGCAACACCGCGUGAGUGAAGAAGGGUUUCGGCUCGUAAAGCUCUGUUGUUAAAGAAGAACACGUAUGAGAGUAACUGUUCAUACGUUGACGGUAUUUAACCAGAAAGUCACGGCUAACUACGUGCCAGCAGCCGCGGUAAUACGUAGGUGGCAAGCGUUAUCCGGAUUUAUUGGGCGUAAAGAGAGUGCAGGCGGUUUUCUAAGUCUGAUGUGAAAGCCUUCGGCUUAACCGGGAGAAGUGCAUCGGAAACUGGAUAACUUGAGUGCAGAAGAGGGUAGUGGAACUCCAUGUGUAGCGGUGGAAUGCGUAGAUAUAUGGAAGAACACCAGUGGCGAAGGCGGCUACCUGGUCUGCAACUGACGCUGAGACUCGAAAGCAUGGGGUAGCGAACAGGAUUAGAUACCCU